AGUGAACGCUGGCGGUAGGCCUAACACAUGCGAGUCGAACGGCAACACAGUAAGAGCUUGCUCUUACGGGUGGCGAGUGGCGGACGGGUGAGGAAUACAUCGGAAUCUACUUUUUCGUGGGGGAUAACGUAGGGAAACUUACGCUAAUACCGCAUACGACCUACGGGUGAAAGCAGGGGAUCUUCGGACCUUGCGCGAUUGAAUGAGCCGAUGUCGGAUUAGCUAGUUGGCGGGGUAAAGGCCCACCAAGGCGACGAUCCGUAGCUGGUCUGAGAGGAUGAUCAGCCACACUGGAACUGAGACACGGUCCAGACUCCUACGGGAGGCAGCAGUGGGGAAUAUUGGACAAUGGGCGCAAGCCUGAUCCAGCCAUACCGCGUGGGUGAAGAAGGCCUUCGGGUUGUAAAGCCCUUUUGUUGGGAAAGAAAAGCAGCAGGUUAAUACCCCGCUGUUCUGACGGUACCCAAAGAAUAAGCACCGGCUAACUUCGU
This 491-nucleotide ribosomal RNA is filed under the name uncultured bacterium. RNAcentral describes it as "partial 16S ribosomal RNA". It matches the Rfam family "Bacterial small subunit ribosomal RNA", at positions 29 to 506 of the family's 1533-position model. The record is from RNAcentral.